RNAcentral lists this transfer RNA (73 nucleotides) under Planifilum fulgidum. It matches the Rfam family "tRNA". From Rfam's summary of the family: Transfer RNA (tRNA) molecules are approximately 80 nucleotides in length. Their secondary structure includes four short double-helical elements and three loops (D, anti-codon, and T loops). The record is from Rfam by way of RNAcentral. Lineage: Bacteria; Bacillati; Bacillota; Bacilli; Caryophanales; Thermoactinomycetaceae. RNAcentral also lists the same sequence under 1 other name.
GCCGGAUUAGCUCAGCUGGUAGAGCACUCGCCUUGUAAGCGAGGUGUCGUGGGUUCGAGUCCUACAUCCGGCA